Molecule: ribosomal RNA, 500 nt
Filed under: uncultured bacterium
Lineage: Bacteria
Description: partial 16S ribosomal RNA
Rfam family: Bacterial small subunit ribosomal RNA
Source: RNAcentral
AUUGAACGCUGGCGGCAUGCCUUACACAUGCAAGUCGAACGGCAGCACGGGCUUCGGUCUGGUGGCGAGUGGCGAACGGGUGAGUAAUGUAUCGGAACGUACCAUUGAGUGGGGGAUAACGUAGCGAAAGUUACGCUAAUACCGCAUAUUCUCUCCGGAGGAAAGCAGGGGACCGCAAGGCCUUGCGCUCUUUGAGCGGCCGAUAUCAGAUUAGCUAGUUGGUGGGGUAAAAGCGCACCAAGGCGACGAUCUGUAGCGGGUCUGAGAGGAUGAUCCGCCACACUGGAACUGAGACACGGUCCAGACUCCUACGGGAGGCAGCAGUGGGGAAUUUUGGACAGUGGGGGCAACCCUGAUCCAGCCAUGCCGCGUGAGUGAAGAAGGCCUUCGGGUUGUAAAGCUCUUUCGGCCGGGAAAAAAUCGCAUGAGUUAAUACCUUGUGUGGAUGAUGGUACCGGAAUAAGAAGCACCGGCUAACUACGUGCCAGCCGCCGCAGUAA